Molecule: ribosomal RNA, 496 nt
Filed under: uncultured bacterium
Lineage: Bacteria
Description: partial 16S ribosomal RNA
Rfam family: Bacterial small subunit ribosomal RNA
Source: RNAcentral
AUGAACGCUGGCGGCGUGCCUAAUACCUGCAAGUCGAGCGAACAGACGAGGAGCUUGCUCCUCUGACGUUAGCGGCGGACGGGUGAGUAACACGUGGAUAACCUACCUAUAAGACUGGGAUAACUUCGGGAAACCGGAGCUAAUACCGGAUAAUAUAUUGAACCGCAUGGUUCAAUAGUGAAAGACGGUUUUGCUGUCACUUAUAGAUGGAUCCGCGCCGCAUUAGCUAGUUGGUAAGGUAACGGCUUACCAAGGCGACGAUGCGUAGCCGACCUGAGGGGGUGAUCGGCCACACUGGAGCUGAGACACGGUCCAGACUCCUACGGGAGGCAGCAGUAGGGAAUCUUCCGCAAUGGGCGAAGGCCUGACGGAGCAACGCCGCGUGAGUGAUGAAGGUCUUCGGAUCGUAAAACUCUGUUAUUAGGGAAGAACAAAUGUGUAAGUAACUAUGCACGUCUUGACGGUACCUAAUCAGAAAGCCACGGCUAACUACGUG